Molecule: ribosomal RNA, 465 nt
Filed under: Vreelandella stevensii
Lineage: Bacteria; Pseudomonadati; Pseudomonadota; Gammaproteobacteria; Oceanospirillales; Halomonadaceae
Description: partial 16S ribosomal RNA
Rfam family: Bacterial small subunit ribosomal RNA
Source: RNAcentral
CCUACGGGUGGCAGCAGUGGGGAAUAUUGGACAAUGGGCGAAAGCCUGAUCCAGCCAUGCCGCGUGUGUGAAGAAGGCCUUCGGGUUGUAAAGCACUUUCAGUGGGGAAGAAAGCCUUGGGGCUAAUACCCUCGAGGAAGGACAUCACCCACAGAAGAAGCACCGGCUAACUCCGUGCCAGCAGCCGCGGUAAUACGGAGGGUGCGUGCGUUAAUCGGAAUUACUGGGCGUAAAGCGCGCGUAGGCGGUCUGAUAAGCCGGUUGUGAAAGCCCCGGGCUCAACCUGGGAACGGCAUCCGGAACUGUCAGGCUAGAGUGCAGGAGAGGAAGGUAGAAUUCCCGGUGUAGCGGUGAAAUGCGUAGAGAUCGGGAGGAAUACCAGUGGCGAAGGCGGCCUUCUGGACUGACACUGACGCUGAGGUGCGAAAGCGUGGGUAGCAAACAGGAUUAGAUACCCGUGUAGUC